ACUCCACAUCCUGAGCAGUAUCUGAAAGAAAAACUAGGAAGCUGAGACGUAAAAUAUAUCCAUUACACUAAACAGUCUUCAGGUCAGAACUUACUGACUGGAGUCGCAAUCAUCAGAUGAUAAGCCAGCGAGGGAGAAACACCCAGACACAAAGGAACCCAUUGGAACAUGUACAACGGAAACUGAGGCAGCCCGCACCCAAAACCUCUGCAUUCACACGUCUGCAGCUUGUGUGCAGGCACUGGUGUUGCAUCCAGAAGAAGUGCCUAAGGAAGACCUCAUCCUCUCCACUGUCGACAAGAGGCAGAGGGGAAAACGUCCCUGAGCUAGUGUCUGGCUUCUCUGAUGAAGUGCUCCAGGUUCCAUCCCAAACACUCUCUGUCAAACCAACUGAAUUAUACAAACCAGCA
This is a long non-coding RNA of Mirounga angustirostris (Northern elephant seal), 410 nucleotides long. RefSeq lists it as uncharacterized. Lineage: Eukaryota; Metazoa; Chordata; Mammalia; Carnivora; Phocidae. The transcript is spliced from 4 exons. The record is from RefSeq and is a predicted model, not a curated record.